Molecule: long non-coding RNA, 111 nt
Organism: Nomascus leucogenys (northern white-cheeked gibbon)
Lineage: Eukaryota; Metazoa; Chordata; Mammalia; Primates; Hylobatidae
Exons: 3
Source: RefSeq, a predicted model, not a curated record
UGGGUUUGUUAAUUUUUAUUUGCAUUAAUGAAUUAAAGCUCCAUAGGAUCUUCUCAUCUUAUUUGUUUAUAUCCGCCUCUUCAUGGAUAGGUCAAUUUCACUGAUUAAAAG